This 253-nucleotide ribosomal RNA is filed under the name uncultured bacterium. Its description in RNAcentral is "partial 16S ribosomal RNA". It matches the Rfam family "Bacterial small subunit ribosomal RNA", at positions 524 to 776 of the family's 1533-position model. The record is from RNAcentral.
UACGUAGGUGGCAAGCGUUGUCCGGAUUUACUGGGCGUAAAGAGCGCGCAGGCGGCUGGUCAAGUCCGAUGUGAAAGCUCCCGGCUUAACUGGGAAACGGCAUCGGAAACUGAUCGGCUUGAAGGUGGGAGAGGGUAGUGGAAUUCCCGGUGUAGUGGUGAAAUGCGUAGAUAUCGGGAGGAACACCAGUGGCGAAGGCGACUACCUGGCCCACUCUUGACGCUGAGGCGCGAAAGCUAGGGGAGCAAACGGG